This 156-nucleotide non-coding RNA is filed under the name uncultured Nitzschia. Lineage: Eukaryota; Bacillariophyta; Bacillariophyceae; Bacillariales; Bacillariaceae. The record is from RNAcentral.
GAGAUUGAUGAACUAGACGAGGAUGGAAAGCCAGGAGCUGAGAAACAGGAGAAAGUCAAAAUCACUAACCUUGAAGAAAUAUUGGAAGCAAACGACGACGACGACGACCAGUGAAUGGAGUUCUCUUGGAAUAAAGGUAUUUGUUAGUCUGGUAAG